AUUUGUGUUGAUGAUUGGCAAUGUUCAACUGCUCUGAGUCAGAAUGAUGGAAUAAUAAGCCUUUCUGAACAAAG
Pelobates cultripes (western spadefoot toad) is the source of this 74-nucleotide non-coding RNA. The record is from the annotation of a GenBank genome assembly. NCBI's taxonomy places the organism in Eukaryota, Metazoa, Chordata, Amphibia, Anura, Pelobatidae.